RNAcentral lists this unclassified non-coding RNA (250 nucleotides) under plant metagenome. Its description in RNAcentral is "partial contains small subunit ribosomal RNA, internal transcribed spacer 1, and 5.8S ribosomal RNA". The stretch from base 195 to 250 matches the Rfam family "5.8S ribosomal RNA", at positions 1 to 56 of the family's 154-position model. The record is from RNAcentral.
GUAGGUGAACCUGCGGAAGGAUCAUUAUCGAGUUAGGGUCCUCUGGGCCCCAUCUCCAACCAUUGCCUACCUUACCAUGUUGCUUCGGCGGGCCCGUCUCUAACCGGACCGCUGGGGAUCUCCCCGGCCCGUGCCCGUCAGUAGCCCCUCGAAAUUCUUGAAUAGUGAUGUCUAAGUCUAAACAUAAUAAGCAAAACUUUCAACAACGGAUCUCUUGGUUCUGGCAUCGAUGAAGAACGCAGCAUCUGAC